This 229-nucleotide ribosomal RNA is filed under the name uncultured bacterium. RNAcentral's name for it is "partial 16S ribosomal RNA". It matches the Rfam family "Bacterial small subunit ribosomal RNA", at positions 568 to 796 of the family's 1533-position model. The record is from RNAcentral.
UGCGUAGGCGGAAUAAUAAGUCAGUGGUGAAAGUUUGUGGCUCAACCAUAAAAUUGCCUUUGAAACUGUUAUUCUUGAGUACAUUUGAGGUAGGCGGAAUGUGAUGUGUAGCGGUGAAAUGCUUAGAUAUAUCACAGAACACCGAUUGCGAAGGCAGCUUACUAAACUGUAACUGACGCUGAUGCACGAAAGCGUGGGGAUCGAACAGGAUUAGAUACCCUGGUAGUCC